Transfer RNA from Colletotrichum tofieldiae, 108 nucleotides. It matches the Rfam family "tRNA". From Rfam's summary of the family: Transfer RNA (tRNA) molecules are approximately 80 nucleotides in length. Their secondary structure includes four short double-helical elements and three loops (D, anti-codon, and T loops). The record is from Rfam. Lineage: Eukaryota; Fungi; Ascomycota; Sordariomycetes; Glomerellales; Glomerellaceae.
GGUUUGGUGGUGUAGUUGGUUAUCACGUCAGUCUAACAGGUCGAGAAAGUCUUCGGACGAACUCCGCCAAUUCACUGAAGGUCUCCGGUUCAAGUCCGGGCUAGAUCA